Budorcas taxicolor (takin) is the source of this 104-nucleotide small nuclear RNA. Lineage: Eukaryota; Metazoa; Chordata; Mammalia; Artiodactyla; Bovidae. The record is from RefSeq and is a predicted model, not a curated record.
CUGCUCACUUUGGCAGCACAUACACUAAAAUUGGAAUAAUACAGAGAUUAACAUGGCCCCUGCGCAAGGAUGUUACUCAAAUUUGUGAAGCAUUCCAUAUUUUU